Long non-coding RNA from Jaculus jaculus (lesser Egyptian jerboa), 783 nucleotides. RefSeq lists it as uncharacterized. NCBI's taxonomy places the organism in Eukaryota, Metazoa, Chordata, Mammalia, Rodentia, Dipodidae. The transcript is spliced from 5 exons. The record is from RefSeq and is a predicted model, not a curated record.
CCUCGGGGCGAGGGGGUGACACGGUGGCUCAGCGGCGGCCGCGCUCCGCACCACGCCGGGCCUCCUGGCCGCUGCAGCCGGGCCAGCUGACGUCUCGCCUGCAGAUCCGAACCGGGGACCAGGAGGCAGGAGAGAGAGAGAGAGAGGAGACCGUGUGAAGUUGUCCAAACACCGCCGAGCGAACGAGAGAGAGCGAGCAAGAGAGAGAGAGACACGCGGGGAGGCCCGGGGGAGGGAAGCCGAGGGUUUGCCAGCGGACGCUCCACGUGUCUCCGAAAAGCCUUCCGGAAAGGCCGCCCAGCCAGGCCUCACGAAAACUGGAUUGAAGUUCAGGAACUGGAAGGUCAUUCAGGAUACAGCUCUGGGACUGGGUUAUCUUGCUGCCCCCUCAGCAGUAGGCAUCUGCCUGUUCCUACUCACAGGCUUAGCCACCAAGUGACUUGUUGCUCAGAAGGAGCCAUGUUCAGGUUGGGCUCUUGAAGUUUUCAUCAUCCUGAUUCCAUCACAGGACUCCGAUAAUUAAGAUGCAGCUCCCUGCCCAUUGCAAGUGCCUUAACCACUAAGCCACCUCUCCAGCCUCCAUCUCUUUGAGGAGGAAGAUUGGAAGCCUUGCUACUUUCCCAUUUCAUCGGAUUCAUCCUCUUCAUCAGGACUUCUUGCGGAUCUCCUUGUAAGCGAAAGAUGUUGAAACAAGGAUCCUACAGUUCCUGGAAAGAGAAAACACAAGCAUAAAACAAGAAACUAUUCAGGGGAUCACAAGGCUAUAGAACCCAAAAGGCCUUG